UCCGUAGGCGGGCAAUUAAGUCAGAGGUGAAAUCCCACAGCUCAACUGUGGAACUGCCUUUGAUACUGGUUGUCUUGAGUCACAGUGAAGUAGAUAGAAUAUGUAGUGUAGCGGUGAAAUGCAUAGAUAUUACAUAGAAUACCGAUUGCGAAGGCAGUCUACUAACUGUAUACUGACGCUAAUGGACGAAAGCGUGGGGAGCGAACAGGAUUAGAUACCCUGGUAGUCC
Molecule: ribosomal RNA, 229 nt
Filed under: uncultured bacterium
Lineage: Bacteria
Description: partial 16S ribosomal RNA
Rfam family: Bacterial small subunit ribosomal RNA
Source: RNAcentral